RNAcentral lists this long non-coding RNA (1375 nucleotides) under Oryctolagus cuniculus (rabbit). RNAcentral describes it as "lncRNA (ENSOCUG00000037437.1)". The record is from RNAcentral. Lineage: Eukaryota; Metazoa; Chordata; Mammalia; Lagomorpha; Leporidae.
GGUCCUAUCCCUAAAUUGAGUGCCUGAGGGCAGCACACAGCUGCUUCAUCCUUUUACCCUCCGCAGCAGGUAGAGCAGGAGGACACUUAAAGAAGUUCACGGGAAACGGAGUUCAAAGGAAAACCAGACAAGUCGUUGAAUGCUGAGGACAACAUCAAUCUCUCCUCAGUGAGCUGACCUGCUUCUGGGCUGUCUCUCGCCAGGGUCCAUUUGGAGACAUUCUGCUGCUGGUAAUUGCCAGGUUGACUCCUAACAACCUUCAGAAACCUCCUUUUAAUUUGGAAUGAAUAACCUCAUUGAAAGAAGAACUAUCUAGUUCAUUAAAAAUGCUCAGUUGGACCAAAAUACCCAUAUAGGAAAUGCUCUAAAAAUGAGUCUGUAUGAGGAGAUUUGAAAAAGUAACUGGGGACAAUGGAAUGAAAAAUAAGUUUCUUUGGGUACAAAAAAUGUUUGAAAACCAUAUAUAGUUUUUUCACAAUAUGCAUUUUGCAUGAGCUCUUUGGGCACCCAUCAUAUUUAUACACACCAACACAACCGAGAUCACUAAGAUAUGAUUCAAACAUUAAUAAGAGUUCAUUCCAAAUACAUACAUCUGGAAAGAAAGCAGGAACUGGAAACAUUUGUUCAAAGGAUGAAAUCACCAACCUGAGAUCCAGAGCUCAAGGUUGUCAGAAGAGAGUCCGAAAAUGGGGUCUGGGCCCAUUUUUGAGGAAUGUUCUUGAGAUGUUUGAGGAGUGCAUCGUGGAUGAGGAGGAGGGAAGCAAGCAGGGGGUGACUCCAAGCGGGCCCAGCCUCAGCCGCCUCCGUGGGCAAGAGCCCAUGAUGGAAGUGGCACAGCGGAACUGCUCCCCCUGGGCUCGCAGGCUGCACCGUGUGCCUUUGCAUUCAGUCACUGAUGUGUCUAGGACGGAGAGGGGGUGUCAAGACUCCUCCCAGGGAUGCCAACACACUAGUAAUCAGGUCUCCAGUUGCCUAUGUGGAACUCCUAGACCACAAGAGCUCUGCAGCAAAUCGGGACAGCUACUCCUGCUGGCUUUCCUUGUCAGUGGUGACAGCGGGCUCUGGUCUGUGGACUGCCAUGGAGCCUGGCUUUGGAGCCUGGUCAGUCUCCAGAUUCCUUAUGGGGACUUCAACUGCUAUGAAACUGAAGCAGUUCCCUUCUAGAUCCUUCAGGAAAAAGCUGAACAAACAAAUGGGCCUCGCUUGGAAUGUCAACUGCCAAGAGCCCUGCUCCUGUCAACAGAGAUUGCAGAUUUUACUGGUAAGUCCCCGAGAUGCAGGUUCCACGCCCUGGAGAGCUGCAGCCAGCAAUACCAAAGCCGGAGCCUGGCUUUACUGUCUUGCUGCUUUUGUGGGGAGGCCCAGUGUCCAGUAA